UGACAGCUAGAUCCUGGCUAAGAUACUCCAUUACCCUCGCAUUCUUAAUAGGGGUAUGUUCACUUCAUCCUACAGAAAAUCCUACAUGUAAACUGUGCAGAGAGGAGAACCUCCCUAAUGCAAAUGGGGCUGAGACUGGUUGAAAAUGUGCCAACAGCCCCUAGUCUUCACUUUCUGAUCACCUGUAACUUGCAGCAGCAUGAUUUCUAGGCCUAAGGAGAAGAAGCAAGGCCCAGUGAGUUUCAGCACCGUGAUGGCAAAGGUCGAACUCUGAUCUUGUUUCAAUCCUUGGCCAUUCCAAAGAAAUGGCUCCAGACCUUCUGAAUGUCACUCAACUUCUCUCCACAUCAGCUGCAGGAUAGACAAGUAUUGAGUUCCCUUCUUGAAAUGGAAAAUGUUCCAGAUCACUUCACCAAAAGUGAAAAUAUAACUCUCCCCAAGAUGGUGAACACGGGAUGGCAGGCAGACCUCAGGACCACCCUGUUCCCCAAUCCAUGCAAAAAGAAAGAGCUCACAGCCCCGAAGAAAGCACUGAUAGAAUGGACUGAACAUAAUAAAAAUUAAUCAACAUGGAGCCAUUUUCUUUACAUAUGAACAAUCUCAGAAAGGUCAGCAAUAAAAAUCACAACAGUU
Long non-coding RNA from Ornithorhynchus anatinus (platypus), 633 nucleotides. RefSeq lists it as uncharacterized. Lineage: Eukaryota; Metazoa; Chordata; Mammalia; Monotremata; Ornithorhynchidae. The transcript is spliced from 4 exons. The record is from RefSeq and is a predicted model, not a curated record.